UUGCUCACAGUAAAAACUUCU
Caenorhabditis elegans is the source of this 21-nucleotide non-coding RNA. The record is from Ensembl. NCBI's taxonomy places the organism in Eukaryota, Metazoa, Nematoda, Chromadorea, Rhabditida, Rhabditidae.